RNAcentral lists this ribosomal RNA (468 nucleotides) under uncultured bacterium. RNAcentral describes it as "partial 16S ribosomal RNA". It matches the Rfam family "Bacterial small subunit ribosomal RNA", at positions 28 to 507 of the family's 1533-position model. The record is from RNAcentral.
GACGAACGCUGGCGGCGUGCUUAACACAUGCAAGUCGAACGGAAAGGCCCUGCUUUUGUGGGGUGCUCGUGUGGCGAACGGGUGAGUAACACGUGAGUAACCUGCCCUUGACUUUGGGAUAACUUCAGGAAACUGGGGCUAAUACCGGAUAGGAGCUCCUGCUGCAUGGUGGGGGUUGGAAAGUUUCGGCGGUUGGGGAUGGACUCGCGGCUUAUCAGCUUGUUGGUGGGGUAGUGGCUUACCAAGGCUUUGACGGGUAGGCGGCCUGAGAGGGUGACCGGCCACAUUGGGACUGAGAUACGGACCAGACUCCUACGGGAGGCAGCAGUGGGGAAUAUUGCACAAUGGGCGGAAGCCUGAUGCAGCAACGCCGAGUGCGGGAUGACGGCCUUCGGGUUGUAAACCGCUUUCGCCUGUGACGAAGCGUGAGUGACGGUAAUGGGUAAAGAAGCAACGGCUAACUACGUG